GAUGAACGCUGGCGGCGUGCCUAAUACAUGCAAGUCGAGCGAACAGACGAGGAGCUUGCUCCUCUGACGUUAGCGGCGGACGGGUGAGUAACACGUGGAUAACCUACCUAUAAGACUGGGAUAACUUCGGGAAACCGGAGCUAAUACCGGAUAAUAUAUUGAACCGCAUGGUUCAAUAGUGAAAGACGGUUUUGCUGUCACUUAUAGAUGGAUCCGCGCCGCAUUAGCUAGUUGGUAAGGUAACGGCUUACCAAGGCGACGAUGCGUAGCCGACCUGAGAGGGUGAUCGGCCACACUGGAACUGAGACACGGUCCAGACUCCUACGGGAGGCAGCAGUAGGGAAUCUUCCGCAAUGGGCGAAAGCCUGACGGAGCAACGCCGCGUGAGUGAUGAAGGUCUUCGGAUCGUAAAACUCUGUUAUUAGGGAAGAACAAAUGUGUAAGUAACUAUGCACGUCUAGACGGUACCUAAUCAGAAAGCCACGGCUAACUACGUG
RNAcentral lists this ribosomal RNA (497 nucleotides) under uncultured bacterium. RNAcentral describes it as "partial 16S ribosomal RNA". It matches the Rfam family "Bacterial small subunit ribosomal RNA", at positions 28 to 507 of the family's 1533-position model. The record is from RNAcentral.